This 419-nucleotide long non-coding RNA is filed under the name Heterocephalus glaber (naked mole-rat). Its description in RNAcentral is "lncRNA (ENSHGLG00000032874.1)". The record is from RNAcentral. Lineage: Eukaryota; Metazoa; Chordata; Mammalia; Rodentia; Bathyergidae.
GGUGGAGACACUUAGGUGUUAAAAAAGAAACUCCUCAAGGCCGGGGAUUUAACUUGGUGCUGCAUCUGCUGCAUCUGCCUCACAAGCGUAAGGUCCUGAGUUCGAUCCCUGGUACCAAGAAACUCCGCAUGGUUGGCAGAACUACACAGGAUGACACCUGCAAGACAACAGUUGGCCUGAGUAACUGAAAAAGACGUGACGUGAAGAGUGCAUUUUCACGGAGAACGAAGGCAGCCCACGGGCAGGAUGAAGAGGAGGUGGGGCCAGAGGCAGCCCCAAGGGCACAGUUAUGGACACUCUCGCAAGAAGGGCAGGAAGGCAGAUUUCUGUGGCAGCUGCAUAUCAAGGAUUUUGGAAGGCUUCCCUCCAUCUUUUCCAAAUUUAGAUUAUCUGGAUUCCGGGACUACGAAGGUUCUGGG